CCAUCCCACAGCCUCACCACGUUGCCGUUUAGUAACGUCAAAUCCAGAAACCGGUACCAGUCCUCUCCUCUUCUCAUUCUCAACACUCUCUCCCAUACCUCCCACCACUCUCCACAACCCUCAUCUUCUCUGUUUCUCCACUCUCUAACCGCCGUUAACUCUCCAUCGCUCUCUCCCUCAUCCUCGUAAUACAUUAUAAACUUGCCCUUGGUAAUUUCCUCAUUGCAAACAGACGGGAUAAUAGGCGCAGCCAUAACUGGAGAAGCAAUAGAAGAAACCUCAUCCGUCGAUGUCCCCA
This 298-nucleotide long non-coding RNA is filed under the name Carica papaya (papaya). Its description in RNAcentral is "long non-coding RNA (CPAP_LNC001301)". The record is from RNAcentral. Lineage: Eukaryota; Viridiplantae; Streptophyta; Magnoliopsida; Brassicales; Caricaceae.